Eupeodes corollae is the source of this 699-nucleotide long non-coding RNA. RefSeq lists it as uncharacterized. The record is from RefSeq and is a predicted model, not a curated record. The transcript has 2 exons. Lineage: Eukaryota; Metazoa; Arthropoda; Insecta; Diptera; Syrphidae.
UAUGAAAAACGAAACUCGUUCAAAAUAACGCGUAUUCGUUAAAUUGCGAUUAGGAAAAACGAUUGUAGUAGCACUAAAUCGUCAAAUUGCGAUUAAGAAAAACGAGAAUCGUAAAAAUGACGAUACUCGUAUUUUUAUUUACGAGUGCCUUCAGCUCUCGUUCAGCUUUCGUUGUCAUUUAUUUUUUUGUUUUCGUUUGGUUGAUGGUUGGUUUUUGUUUUGGUGAGCAAAAAAAUGCCUACAACUAAUGCUAAGCAGUUGGAUUUGCUGGUAGCUUUUAUGGAAACCAAUCCAAAUAUAGCAAAAAAUUACUUGCCGACGAGCCAAGCCAAGAUUUUAGAACGCCUAUCGUCCUCUCAACAAUAUUCCUGCAUUUAGAAUGAAUAGUAUUAAAAUGCUCUUCUCGACCUCCUUCUUGCGUAGUUCGGUAGGGAGUCAUCAUUCACGGUUCCAGAGUGUACCCAGAAUCACCUAAACCAAUUAUAAAACAUCAAACGUUUUGAGUGAAUUUAGCAUCUACGUACCCAACAACCAACUUCUCCUAUCACCAUCAUUCCAUUUCUGCUCAAGGUGUCUGCGAUAGGCGCUUAAACUGAAGACAAAUGAGUCAUGGGACGCUCCUCCAUAACGGGCGUCAAUAGCGCGGAUUCUCAUUUUGUAAUCACAGACCUUUGGAAAGUAAAAAGAAUUGUUUAAAAA